CAUUUGUGAUAUCAAUGUUGCGCCAUCUAUCGUAAGAUUAAAGUCACGCCCAUUUCGAAUACAUUAUUCUUGACCAAUGGUAGCACUUGAACUCUUCAAUUUGGAGGUUAAACACGGUAGCGUCUAGAUUCUACACACUUGGUAAAGCCGGAAACGAAAAUAUACGUCAACAUUCAUGCAUUUGUGCAUGAAACAUACACAGGAACUUCUGUUAGUUGAUUAAAAACAUUCAAGUUGUCACUAAAUAUAGUCGUAUGUUUAGUGAUGUAAAGACUUGUUGCACAAUAAACACGUAGC
This 297-nucleotide long non-coding RNA is filed under the name Mytilus galloprovincialis (Mediterranean mussel). Lineage: Eukaryota; Metazoa; Mollusca; Bivalvia; Mytilida; Mytilidae. The record is from RNAcentral.